UUAAAAAUGUUACCUAAGUUAAAGAAUAUAAAGGAGGAGAAAACGCCGGUGGCCGCGGCCGAACCUCCACCACCUCUGUCAGCUGUGCCAGGCGGCUUCCUCAAACAGCUGGUCAGAGAUUCAGAGAAGGAGACCAAACACAAAGAGCCAGAGGCCAAAGACGAGAGACCACCAAACAAACUGAGCGGCAACCUCGUGCAACAGUUCCUCCUCCCAGAUCAGACUCCUCCCAUCCUCGAGGCUGAGAUGUCCCUCCGGGCAGAGCAGCUGAUCCAGAACAGCAAGCAAGGACGCACCUCGGCCCGGUCAGACAGCCAGUCCUCGUCUCACAAGCAGGUAGUCAGUCCUGAACCUGGCAAGAAACAAGAAGCCACGCAGGAAGUAACACCAGAGCCACCAAAGCAGCAACAGGACGUGAGGUCAGAGAACAGCAAGAAGACGCCACAGGCCGAGCAGAAGAAGGGGAGGAUAGAGGAGGUGAAGCAGUUGGUGAAGAAAGAGGAGGGGAUGGAGGAGAGGCAGGAGCCAGAGGGAAGGCAAGCGGACACAACCAUAACAGAGCGUGUCAGGAAAGAGGUGAAGGAUGUUUGGUAUGAAGCUGGAACUGUGUGGUUUGUCCACAAGGAUGGUUUCACCCUCGCCACUCAGCUGAAGCCAGAUGAAGGCACACCUGAACUCCCAGACGGCCGAGUGAGGGUCCGGCUGCAGACAGAUGGGUCGCUGCAUGAUGUUACAGAGCACGAGAUUGAGAAGUGUAACCCAUCAGAGCUGGACCUGUGCGAGGAUCUGAGCGACCUGCAGAGUGUGAAUGAAUGUGGAGUUCUGCACACUCUGAGCAGCCGAGCUAAAGCCAACAUGCCGCUCACGCAAGCAGGACCCAACUUGGUCAACUUCUGGCCUCCGUUACAGGCCCACAGCAAGACUCCAAAGUCUCGGCGAGGGGAGUCAGUGUGGGAUGCUCCUCCUGCGCUUUCCGCUCUGGUGAAACGGGUGUACGUGUCCAUGGUCGGCACCAGAAGAGACCACAGCGUGUGCGCAGUUGGUCGCAGCGGUACCGGCAAGACCACCGCAUGCCAGGCCUUCACACACGCUCUCCUCAAACAAGCCGGUACAACCGGAGAGAAGAUCAGCAUGGAGCGUGUACAGGCGAUGUUCACCGUCCUGAGGUCUUUUGGCUGUGUGAGCUCUCAGCACAGCGACGCUUCAUCUCGAUUUGCCAUGGUCUUCUCCCUGGACUUUAACCACGCUGGACAGGCUGCUGCUGGACACCUACAGACGAUGAUGUUGGACAAAUGGAAAGUGUGUCAGAAAACACAAGGAGAGAGUAACUUCCUGGUUUUCUCUCAGAUGCUCGGAGGACUCAGCACAGAGAUGAGGACAGAACUGCAGCUGCACCAGCUUUCUGAGUCCAACUCCUUUGGUAUCGUUCAUCCAAUCAAGGUUGAGGAAAAACAGCGGGCGUCCGUUGCCUUCACCAAGCUGCUGACUGCCAUGGAAACACUCGGGUUCUCAGCCAGCGAGCAGAAGGCUAUAUGGCAUGUUCUGGCUGGUAUUUACCAUCUGGGAGCUGCCGGGGCCUGUAAAGUGGGUAGGAGGCAGUUUGUGAACUUCGACAGUGCUCAGGUGGCCAGCAGUGUACUCGGCUGUGAGGGAGAGGAUCUGCACACUGCUGUCUUCAAACAUCACCUCCGACAGCUGCUGCAGAAAGCCACCGGAGGUAGCAGAGAGAGAAAUACUGAGUCAGAUGAGGGUCCCAGGUUGACAGCUGCUCAGUGUGUUGAAGGAAUGGCUGCUGGACUCUAUGAGGAACUCUUCUCUGCCAUAGUCUCACUUAUCAACAGGUCUCUGAGCGGUCAGCAGCUGACGUUGGCCUCCAUGAUGGUGGUGGACACGCCGGGCCUGAGGAACCCCAGACACUCUGCAGAGGAGCGAGCAGCCGGCUGGUCCGAGCUCUGUCACAACUACCUGCAGGAGAGGCUGCUGGAGCACUACCACACACACACCUUUACGCACACACUGGAGAGAUACACACAGGAGAAGAUACCCGUGGAGGUGGAGUGUCCCGAGAACAGCCCGGCUGAGGUGGUGUCUGCUAUUGACCAGCCGCCUCCACAGGUCCGAGCGGCAGAUGGAGACCCCAGAGGUCUGUUAUGGGUUCUGGAUGAAGAGAUGUUGACACCAGCCUCCAGUGAGAACAGCGUCCUGGAGAGAGUCUGCCAAUAUUACAGCAACGCUGUGCGUCAGUGCGAGCAGCCGCUGCAUUGUGAGGUGAACCACCUGAUGGGCUGUGACCCUGUCCGCUACGACCUCACCGGAUGGUUUGGUCGGAUCCAGAACAACCCGUCUACUCUGAACGCCAUCUCUGUGCUCCAGAACUCCACAAUAGGGGUGGUGAAGGCCAUGUUUACCCCCAGAAUCUCUCUGCCCCCUCUGUGCCGAGGUCUUGGGGGUCUGGAGGGCGGCAGCCAGCGCUCUCUGCAGAGGAACGGCACCAUCAGGAAAACAUUCAGCGGAGGGAUGGCAGCCAUACGCAGACUCUCCCAAUGUAUUGCAGUAAAACUACAGGCAGAUGCUCUAGUGAACCUCAUUCGUCGAGCCAGGCCGGUGUUCCUGCAGUGUGUGAGUGCAAAGACAGACAGUGGAAGUCUUGACGUCCCGGCUCUCAGAGUCCAGCUGCACUCCACGCAGAUCCUGUCGGCCCUGCAGCUCCACCGCACAGGUUUUCCAGAGCACAUGACUUUCAGUGACUUCAGGUGUCACUUCCAGGCGUUGUCUCCUCCAAUUAUGAAACGUUACGCUUCAAUGUUUGUUAGCCACGAUGAAAGAAAGGCGGUGGAGGAGUUACUGGCUGAGUUGGAUCUGGAUAAAAGGAGCAUCGUGCUGGGCGCCAGCAGGGUGUUCAUGAAGCGAGGUGUGCUGCGCUACCUGGAGCAGCAGAGGGACCAGCAGGUGACCGGCUGGUUGGUCUAUCUACAGGCCUCCUGCAUGGGACAUCUGGCCCGUCAGAAAUAUCGCAAGCUCAAGGUGCAGCAGAUGGCGGUCAGGUGUCUGCAGAGGAACCUGCGCGCUCUGAGGGUCGUGUCCAAGUGGAGCUGGUGGAAACUUUUCUGCAGAGUGCGUCCUCAACUCGACGUCAACAUGGACAACGAACGGCUCAGAGCUAAAGAGGAUGAGAUAUCUGCUCUGAGACGACGCCUGGAGAAAUCAGAGAAGGAGAGGAAUGAGCUGAGGCAGACGGUAGACAGCCUGGAGACCAAGGUUACAGCUGUAACAUCCGAGCUGAGCGAUGAGCGUUUUCGUGGCGACGCGGUGGGUCAGGCUCUGGAUGUGGAGAGGGCAGAGAGACUUCGACUCAGCAGGGAGAACAAAGACCUGCAGGCUCGUCUAGAUCAGUGUAAAGUCACCAUGGAAACACUGGAGAAGCAGCUGGAGGAGGAGAAACAGAAAGCCGAGAUGGCUGAGAGUCAGCGAGGAGCAGGGACAGACAGCGAGCUGGCCAUGCAGCUGGAGUGCUGCCAGACGGAGGUUGAAUUUGUCCGCAGACGACUCAAGCAGACAGAAGAAAAACUGGAGACGGAGAGACAGACCCGACAGCAGCUCGAUACCAAGGUGGCGGCCCUGCAGGCCCAGCUGGAGCAGUCCAGGCGGAGCGUGGCAGAACUGAAACGUCACUCUCGCCGCGUGACCUCUGACCUUCAGGAUGCCCGAGUCCUCACUGACAGCCUGCAGAGCCGCAUGCACGAGCUGGACCGCAAACAGAGACGGUUCGACAGUGAGUUGACUCAGGCUCUGGAGGAAGCUGACAAUGAGAGAGAGCAAAAGGACAAAGCCUUUCAGGAGAACACAGCUCUGGGGGCUGAGAUAUACACCCUGCGCCGCAGCCUACAGGAGAGCCAGUCAGAGGUGAGCCGUCUGCAGAAGCAGAAGGAGGAGUUAUGCGCUCAGAUCCGUGACCUCAGCCUGCCUGUUGAUCUCGCCGCCGAUUCACUACCUGACCUCAAGAAACAGCUUCGCCUCCUGGAGAGUCAGGCCAGCGAGAGAGGGCAGGAAAUCACCACGCUCACCGCCAAGAUACAGCAGCAGCAACAGAUCCACAUGCGUUUUGAGAUGGAGAUGGAGAGGAUGAAGCAGAUGCAUCAGAAAGAGUUGGAGGAUAAAGAAGAGGAGUUGGAGGAUGUACACAAGUCCUCUCAGAGGCGGCUGAGGCAGUUGGAGAUGCAGUUGGAGCAGGAGUAUGAGGAGAAACAGAUGGUGAUUCAUGAGAAGCACGACUUGGAAGGACUCAUAGCAACUCUGUGUGACCAGGUGGGACACAGAGACUUUGAUGUGGAGAAGAAGCUGAGGAGAGACCUGAAGAGGACUCAUGCCCUGCUGGCCGACGCCCAGCUGCUUCUUUCCACCGUCGACAACCCGGGGCAGAACUUACCCAACGGCAGCAGAGAGCAGAUAGAGCGCCUGCACUGCCAGCUUGAGGAAAGCGAAGUGAGGCGGCUGGAGGCGGAGAGUGUGCAGACGACUCUCUCCCAGGAGCUGGAGAACUCUCAGAUUGAGCUGGAAAAUAUCUGCAAACAGAAGAGCAUGGUGGAUGAGCAGUUAGCCCUGCUGCAGCACGAGAAGGUGGACCUGCUGAAGAGACUCGAGGAGGACCAGGAAGACCUCAAUGAACUUAUGAAGAAGCACAAAGCCCUCAUUGCUCAGUCCUCCAGUGACAUCUCUCAGAUCAGAGAGCUUCAGGCUGAACUAGAGGAGGUGAAGAAACAGAGACACUCUCUCCAGGAAGAGCUGCAGCAGUGUGUGUCCAGGGUGCAGUUCCUGGAGUCGUCCACUGUGGGGCGUAGCAUCGUCAGUAAACAGGAGGCGCGUGUAUGUGACCUGGAGAAUAAACUGGAGUUUCAGAGAGGGCAAGUCAAGAGGUUUGAGGUGCUGGUGUUGCGUUUAAGGGACAGCGUGGUUCGUCUCGGGGAGGAGCUGGAGCAGAGCGCCCAGGCGGAGGCUCGGGAGAGAGAGAACGCCCGCUACUACCAGCAGCGUGUGCAGGACAUGAGGCUGGAGAUGGAGGAGCUGAUCCAGAGAGAGCAGGACAGCAGCCGCAGACGCAUGGAGCUGGAAAUGCAGUUGGAGGAGCUCAGCGCCGUCAGACAGGCGCUGCAGGCCGACCUGGAGACGUCCAUCCGCCGCAUCGUCGAUCUGCAGGCCGCCCUGGAGGAGGUGGAGUCGAGCGACGAGAGUGACUCUGAAAGCGUUCAAACUGCUGUGGAGUCCUUGACUCGAAAGAAAGACCUUGACUCGGUGUCCAGCGUUGGCUCCGUCGGGACGGAGGACGUUGGAGAGGGGAUUCGUCGCUGGUUAGGAGUGCCCAGGGGAGGGUCCCGGGGUGGUGGCUCUCUCUGUGGGGGCAGCCAAGGAGGGCGCCAGUCUGUCGCUGACACCAUGAGCACCUACAGCUUCCGCUCUUGCGUGGAUCCUGAUGACGAGGCCUCUGAGGCCGGAGGGGCUGGAACCAGAGGUCUCGGUCGAGCCCCGUCCUCCUCGGCUCUGUCUGAGCUGCUGGACGGACUUCGUAAGCGCAGGGCUGGCGGCGAUGCAGAAGACGGAGCAGGCAGCGCCGUCUCCCUGCCGAUUUAUCAAACAACCGCAGCCUCGACUCUCAGACGGAGAGCCUCAGCCCUCUCUCUCGGCCCUGAAGACCUCCAGCAGGCCCGGCCCGGCCCCGGCAUCCUCAAACCGCCCUCCCCGCUCCUGCCUCGCGCCGCCAGCGCUCGCUCAAUCGGUGACGCUCAGACAUCUGCUGCCGCCUCCACAGCUGGAGCUAAACCCUCUCGCUUCAACUCAGGUGAUUCCCUCUCUUCACUUCCCUCGCUGCCACGCCUCUCCUCCUUGGCGUCCUCCCUCACCGCUCGCCAUCAACCCCCCUCCCUGUCCAUCCCAGAGGAGGACCCAGAGGAUUCCCGCCGCUCCUUGACGACUCCCAUCCAGCGCUCCCCUCAGGCACUAAGGCGGAGCAUGCUGGGAAGUCUCGUUACAGAGGAUGGAGGUGAAGGCUCUCUGGGUUCAGAACCUAUUGUCUUCCAAAACCGCCGCCUGGUUGGGGUUAACGGGCGUGACGACGCGGCCUCCGACAUCCUGCCCGCCAUCCGAAGGGCUCAGUCCACCAGCAGCCUGGCCAGCUCAGUCAGAGGAGGCAGGAGGGCGCUGAGCGUCCACUUCGGAGAGCUGCCUCCUUCGAGCCGCAGCAGGAAAAGCUCUGAAACGGAGUCCUCCAGCUCCGGUGGGUCAGGAGGAAGCUCCCAAGGCGGGGGGCCCAGACGCCGGUAUGAAAGGCCGCAGGGAGAAAGACUGGAGGCGGAGGGCAGUGAGGGGGGAGACGUGGCUUCAGUCAUGAAGAGAUACCUGAAAAAGGAGAGUGACUGAACCAGACGAGGUGAGUUCCCAGAGGCAAUCGAACGUGGUGUUAUUUGUCAACAACACCCUGCGCUACAGUGAAUUCACACCUGGGAGCUGCCCAGUGUGACGCUGGACACAUGCAGCAGCUGAAGGAGCUCAGGGACGGUGUGCACUCUUAAAGAUAAAAUAAGCCGUUUGUGUGUGGAGGUUAAGGCCAAACUGUCAGAGCGUCGCUGGAUAUGUUUCCUAUGUUCUUCAUCCCCAUCUGUUGCUCUGCAUGAGCCGAGCCAGAGUUCAGCUAGAGACUGCAUAAAAGAAGUGGACGCUGCCACCGUGACGUCAUCAGUUGGUUUCCGGACCGACGUUUUGAAACCUCGAGUUUGGAAUUUUGGCCGCCGCCAUCUUGGGGUUUUCUUUGG
Micropterus dolomieu (smallmouth bass) is the source of this 6803-nucleotide RNA transcript. It is a transcript of the gene named unconventional myosin-XVIIIb-like, with no coding region annotated. The record is from RefSeq and is a predicted model, not a curated record. NCBI's taxonomy places the organism in Eukaryota, Metazoa, Chordata, Actinopteri, Centrarchiformes, Centrarchidae. The transcript is spliced from 45 exons.